GACGAACCGAGCGAACGUUGUUCGGAAUCACUGGGCUUAAAGGGUGCGUAGGCGGGCUGCCAAGUUUGAGGUGAAAUCCUCCGGCUCAACCGGGGAAGUGCCUUGAAUACUGGCGGUCUGGAGGGAGGUAGGGGCGUGCGGAACUAACGGUGGAGCGGUGAAAUGCGUUGAUAUCGUUAGGAACUCCGGUGGCGAAGGCGGCACGCUAGACCUCUUCUGACGCUGAGGCACGAAAGCCAAGGGAGCGAACGGG
Molecule: ribosomal RNA, 253 nt
Filed under: uncultured bacterium
Lineage: Bacteria
Description: partial 16S ribosomal RNA
Rfam family: Bacterial small subunit ribosomal RNA
Source: RNAcentral